GAGUUUGAUCAUGGCUCAGAUUGAACGCUGGCGGCAGGCCUAACACAUGCAAGUCGGGCGGUAGAGAGAAGCUUGCUUCUCUUGAGAGCGGCGGACGGGUGAGUAAUGCCUAGGAAUCUGCCUGGUAGUGGGGGAUAACGCUCGGAAACGGACGCUAAUACCGCAUACGUCCUACGGGAGAAAGCAGGGGACCUUCGGGCCUUGCGCUAUCAGAUGAGCCUAGGUCGGAUUAGCUAGUUGGUGAGGUAAUGGCUCACCAAGGCGACGAUCCGUAACUGGUCUGAGAGGAUGAUCAGUCACACUGGAACUGAGACACGGUCCAGACUCCUACGGGAGGCAGCAGUGGGGAAUAUUGGACAAUGGGCGAAAGCCUGAUCCAGCCAUGCCGCGUGUGUGAAGAAGGUCUUCGGAUUGUAAAGCACUUUAAGUUGGGAGGAAGGGCAGUAAAUUAAUACUUUGCUGUUUUGACGUUACCGACAGAAUAAGCACCGGCUAACUCUGUGCCAGCCG
Molecule: ribosomal RNA, 510 nt
Filed under: uncultured bacterium
Lineage: Bacteria
Description: bacterial SSU rRNA
Rfam family: Bacterial small subunit ribosomal RNA
Source: RNAcentral